GACAGAGGGUGCAAACGUUGCUCGGAAUUACUGGGCGUAAAGGGCGCGUAGGCGGAUUUGGAAGUCGGGUGUGAAAUCCCUGGGCUCAACCUAGGAACUGCAUUCGAAACUCCAAGUCUAGAGUGACGGAGAGGAAAGCGGAAUUCCCGGUGUAGAGGUGAAAUUCGUAGAUAUCGGGAGGAACACCAGAGGCGAAGGCGGCUUUCUGGACGUCUACUGACGCUGAGGCGCGAAAGCUGGGGGAGCGAACGGGAUUAGAUAUCCGCGUAGUCCCUGAG
Molecule: ribosomal RNA, 278 nt
Filed under: uncultured prokaryote
Description: partial 16S ribosomal RNA
Rfam family: Bacterial small subunit ribosomal RNA
Source: RNAcentral